GAACAGUUGAACUUUGUUACUGUAUGUUUGUUGGGACACUCAAUCAAAUCAUCUUGACUUUUGCAACUUAGGUCUGUCUAUUAAUUUGAUGCUUCUAAUCCCCAUGGAUUUCUGUCCAGACAGUCACCAUGGUAAUAUUUAUUUCUGUCCAUACAGUCACCAUGGUAAUAUUUAUUUCUGUCCAGACAUUCACCAUGGUUAUAUUUAUUUCUUUUCAGACAGUCACCAUGUUUAUAUUUAAUUCUGUCCAUACAGUCACCAUGGUUAUACUCAAUUCUGUCCAUACAGUCACCAUGGUUAUAUUUAAUUCUGUCCAGACAGUCACCAUGGUUAUAUUUAAUUCUGUCCAGACAGUCACCAUGGUUAUACUCAAUUCUGUCCAUACAGUCACCAUGGUUAUACUCAAUUCUGUCCAUACAGUCACUAUGGUUAUACUCAAUUCUGUCCAUACAGUCACCAUUGUUAUAUUUAAUUCUGUCCAGACAGUCAUCAUGGUCACAUUUAUUUCUGUCCAGACAGUCACCAUUGUUAUAUAUAUUUAAUUCUGUCCAGGCAGUCACCAUGGUUAUAUUUAUUUGUCGGGACAGCCACCAUGUUUAUAGCGGAGCCAGCGCGGCCGCAGGCCGUGCGCGGAGCUCCAUAGGUAUAGAAAUAUGGUAUAACUAUGCGAUUCGUUUUUUGUGGUCAUCGCUCGGGUACCCUGUGUGUCACAAUCCAGUAAAUCGUGCAACUCCCAGGCCCCACUCGGCCUCAACUAGAAAGGAGUCAUCGUCAAGUGACACGUCAAUCACAAUGACGUCAUGAUGAUGUUAACUCAAUCACCAAACUGGACAUAACCGGUUUAUAAUCAGUCUAACUGGAAAUAAAGCUUACGUGUUUUUACACAUUUUUUACCACCGCCCCCAAACUUCCUCACUUAUGCUUCAAAGUUCUUUUAUGAACAACGCAAACCUGCAAAGCGAAACAAGAAAAUUGAAUAUUGAGAAGUUUAUUAUUGCCACUGUGACCAUGGACGACCUUUCACGUGGUGAUAAAAGAGUUGAAGAAGAACCAAGAAGAGGGGAGGAGCAAAAUAAUGAGAAGGAGAGGUCACGCAGGACACGAUUGUUGAUAGAAGCUCGGCAAAGACAGCGUAAAGAGGCAGAGAAACUUAGAAACACUCAACGCCCAGCGUGCAAUGAUGGCAGAAGACAGCUUGUUUGUUCAAAGGCAAAGAGAAAGGGCUCGUGAGCGACAGAGGGCAUCUAGACUCAGGAGAAAACAACAGAGGCAGCCCUCCACUACUACCGCUUUUGUUGGUGAGUUUUCUUUGAGUAAAAUAAUGUCUAUAUUGUAUCAAUAUUCUUUUGUAAUUGUAUCGAUAUUCUUAUUUGUUUUCUUUCUUCUUCUUAGACUAAGGCUAUCAUUUUCUAUUGAGAGUAAGAGCAAAUACCUCAAAUAAAGCAAACUAGAAUCAGUAAUGCAGAAUUAGUUUAUUUGUCAUUUAGUUUAUUUAUCAAGCUAAGUAUGCCAGAUGUGGCAUACUUAGCUUGGUUGUGUAAAAUGCAUAAUAAGCUGAAACUGUUAAGCCCAAUUCUGUUGAGUUAAAUUCUCUUUCUGCAUUGUAAUUGUGUGAAAACUUCGUGUACAGUAAUCAAAAGGCCUAUCCGAAAGAGAAAUAUUAUAGACGUGUUUGUUUUUGUCAACUCAAAUAUUUCAAAAUAAUGAAGGUAAGUGUAAAAAAAACACUGAUAAAUUAUUUAAAAAGUAAGCUGUAUAUCAAUAUUUUGGUGUAAAUGAACCCUAUUUACUUUGAUCUAUGAAAGAAAUAUGGCUAAAUGAUUUCAGUCAGGUCUUAUUUAUCUGACACAUUUAUGCUUUUUUUCCCUCAGCUCUCAAAGAUGUUUUUCAAGGUUGUUGUGUGUCAGUUACAGCAUAAAA
This is a long non-coding RNA of Nematostella vectensis (starlet sea anemone), 1920 nucleotides long. RefSeq lists it as uncharacterized. The record is from RefSeq and is a predicted model, not a curated record. The transcript has 2 exons. Lineage: Eukaryota; Metazoa; Cnidaria; Anthozoa; Actiniaria; Edwardsiidae.